Molecule: RNA transcript, 2034 nt
Organism: Vitis vinifera (wine grape)
Lineage: Eukaryota; Viridiplantae; Streptophyta; Magnoliopsida; Vitales; Vitaceae
Exons: 2
Source: RefSeq, a predicted model, not a curated record
AGGCCCACACACAGCUCAACAGUCCGCAAAUUGGGCUGGCUAAGGCCCAGCCCACUUACCUGACCAAACUCAUGUUGUACACGCUUUUAGGGUUUGUUGCUAAGGAGAAGAAGCCUCCAUCUCUUUUUACUCGAAAGCACUCAAUCAUUCCUUCUCCAAAAUUUGCGUUUCGAUCGAUCCCUGAGUUGAAGCCUUCAAGCAGGUGAAUUGAUCCAAAAUGUAUCUUCAGUUUUACAUUAACGAGAAUGGCGAUAAAGUUUACACUACUAAGGUAUGCUAAUCGAGGUUUUUGUUUUUCUUCUUCUUUUUCACCGGAUGUUCUAACUUAUGCAUAUAUAUAAACCUGAAAUGCAUGCUCAUACUAGAUGAAAUGAAGUUCGGAUUUAAUUGGGUGUUGGUGUCUACUAGUGGAAUCUGACCUGUCCCAAUUUUCUUCUCAGGUCUAAGACUGUAUAUAGAUUUAAUAACUUUAGAUGGUAGAUCCAUUGACACUCCUAUUUCUAUCAUAAAAAGUCAUUUCCCUGUCUGUGUGGUUCUAGGAGAAGUGUUGAUGAGGAAGUGAUCACCUAGGUUUCUUCUUUGUUCUCCAUCUCUACUUUUCUUUUAAAUCCCUGUACUGUUGCACUUUAGUGUUCUUAUUCUGCUUUUUUAAUAGGUCCUGUGAGCUUUCCAUUCUUUCUCCCUCUGACGUAAGCCUCUGUUUACUGUCCUGAUCUAUUUUCUACCUUCAUGCUUUUUCCAAACACCCUAAAGAUGAUAAUUUUGUUGCCGUCCAGUUCAGUAGCAACCUGUUUACUUAAUUUGGGGCAGUGCACCAUUAAUUCCCCCUCAAACACUGAAACAGAUGUUGACAUACUCGUCUAAUAGUUGACGUUGUUUUCAUUAAUGUAUUUGAUUUGUGAGAGAGUAUUAUCCAUGUGGCAUGGCAACCUCUGAGCUAGAUUCUGAUUGUGUGCAUAUCCUUGAUGCUUUUGCAAACAUGUCUUAUUUGUUUGGCAUGGAAUUGCAGAUAUUUUUUCUGUGGUCCGACUUCUCAUUGUCCUAACAUGAUACUGUCCAUGCUAGUAUAUUUUUCUCCUUAUACUUCUGCUCAUUUACCUUCAUGCAUCUGUGGCAUGCAGAAAGAAUCACCACUUGGAGUGAACACACAAUCUGCUCAUCCAGGUAAACUUAAAAUUUUUUGCAAGGGUAAUUACCCUUUUAUUGUCCAUCCUAAUUUCCAGUUUACUUGGGUUUUUGAAUUACUGCUGGUAAGUUUAGCAUGGGAUAAUGGAUGUUGGACUUCAUCUUUAGCUAGUUGAAGUAGCCCUCAUAUCAAGUUUUGGGUUGUAAGUAAUGGUGACAACACAUUGAAAAAACAAAGGAAAAAGGUAAAGAUGUUGAAUGCUCUACUCUAUUUACUGAUACCAGAAUGAACAAGAAGAGAAGGUGCUAAUGAUUAUUCUGGAUUAAUUUUUAUGCUUAAUUGCAUUACUGCUAUCAGUCUGUGCUCCAUGACCCAUCGACUUAUUUUCUCUGAGUUUCUUGCAUUUUGUCACUUGAUUUGGUGUGAUUAUUAUAGUUUCCAUCAUCAGCUGAAUUAUUGUCACCAAUCAUUUGAUUGCUGGGAUUUGCUAUGACACUCAUCUGUCUUUGUCAUCCAUUUCCUUUGCCUUUAAUGCAGCUCGCUUCUCCCCUGAUGAUAAAUAUUCACGGCAAAGGGUUCUUUUGAAGAAGCGCUUUGGAUUGUUGCCCACCCAAAGUCCACCCCCAAAGUACUAAAUAUUUCACUGUCUUCUUGAUGUUGAUUCGGGGCUUACCUUUGCUUCCAUGGAAGAAUGCGGGGAAGUAUUUUGGGUUUUGGUAGCUAUUCAUCUUAAUUGUUCACUAGCAGGAUGGCAACUGAUGCCGGAUCACUGAAUUGGACGGAAAAUGAGAUGAUGUCUUGAAUGCAUCUGUUUAGACCCUAGAAUGUUUUGUUGCAUUUGUACACUUUCUUAUUUUUCAUUUUUGUCUUGCAUGAAAGCAUUCUGAUUUUUUCUUGUGUGUUUUUAA